This 497-nucleotide ribosomal RNA is filed under the name uncultured bacterium. RNAcentral's name for it is "partial 16S ribosomal RNA". It matches the Rfam family "Bacterial small subunit ribosomal RNA", at positions 28 to 507 of the family's 1533-position model. The record is from RNAcentral.
GAUGAACGCUGGCGGCGUGCCUAAUACAUGCCAGUCGAGCGAACAUUCCAGGGUCUUUCUCCUCUGACGUUAUCGGCGGAGGGGUGAGUAACACGUGGAGAACAUACCUCUAAGACUGGGAUAACUUCUGGAAACCGGAGCUAAUACCGGAUAAUAUAUUGCACCUCAUGGUUCAAUAGUGAGAGACGGUUUUGCUUUCACUUAUUGAUGGAUCCGCGCCGCAUUAGCUAGUUGGUAAGGUAACGGCUUACCAAGGCAACGAUGCGUAGCAGACCUGAGAGGGUGAUCGGCCACACGGGAACUGAGACACGGCCCAGACUCCUACGGGAGGCAGCAGUAGGGAAUCUUCCGCAAUGGACGAAAGCCUGACGGAGCAACGCCGCGUGAGUGAUGAAGGUCUUCGGAUCGUAAAACUCUGUUAUUAGGGAAGAACAAAUAUGUAAGUAACUAUGCACGUCUUGACGGUACCUGAUCAGAAAGCCACGGCUAACUACGUG